This 447-nucleotide ribosomal RNA is filed under the name uncultured bacterium. RNAcentral's name for it is "bacterial SSU rRNA". It matches the Rfam family "Bacterial small subunit ribosomal RNA", at positions 331 to 795 of the family's 1533-position model. The record is from RNAcentral.
CCAGACUCCUACGGGAGGCAGCAGUGGGGGAUAUUGCACAAUGGGGGAAACCCUGAUGCAGCGACGCCGCGUGAGUGAAGAAGUAUUUCGGUAUGUAAAGCUCUAUCAGCAGGGAAGAAAAUGACAGUACCUGACCAAGAAGCCCCGGCUAACUACGUGCCAGCAGCCGCGGUAAUACGUAGGGGGCAAGCGUUAUCCGGAUUUACUGGGUGUAAAGGGAGCGUAGACGGUUAUGUAAGUCUGGAGUGAAAGCCCGGGGCCCAACCCCGGGACUGCUUUGGAAACUGUGUAACUGGAGUACAGGAGGGGCAGGCGGAAUUCCUGGUGUAGCGGUGAAAUGCGUAGAUAUUAGGAGGAACACCAGUGGCGAAGGCGGCUUACUGGACUGUAACUGACGUUGAGGCUCGAAAGCGUGGGGAGCAAACAGGAUUAGAUACCCGAGUAAUG